RNAcentral lists this non-coding RNA (23 nucleotides) under Arabidopsis thaliana (thale cress). Lineage: Eukaryota; Viridiplantae; Streptophyta; Magnoliopsida; Brassicales; Brassicaceae. The record is from RNAcentral.
AGAGUAUAGUUGGUGUGAUCUCU